RNAcentral lists this unclassified non-coding RNA (342 nucleotides) under soil metagenome. RNAcentral describes it as "partial contains 5.8S ribosomal RNA, internal transcribed spacer 2, and large subunit ribosomal RNA". The stretch from base 1 to 120 matches the Rfam family "5.8S ribosomal RNA", at positions 35 to 154 of the family's 154-position model. The record is from RNAcentral.
GAUGAAGAACGUAGCGAAAUGCGAUACGUAAUGUGAAUUGCAGAAUUCUGUGAAUCAUCGAGUCUUUGAACGCACAUUGCGCCCCCUGGUAUUCCGGGGGGCAUGCCUGUCCGAGCGUCAUUGCUGCCCUCAAGCACGGCUUGUGUGUUGGGCCUCCGUCCUCCUCCCGGGGGACGGGCCCGAAAGGCAGCGGCGGCACCGCGUCCGGUCCUCGAGCGUAUGGGGCUUCGUCACCCGCUCUUGUAGGCCCGGCCGGCGCUUGCCGACACAUCAAUCUUUUUUCCAGGUUGACCUCGGAUCAGGUAGGGAUACCCGCUGAACUUAAGCAUAUCAAUACGGAGG